Molecule: ribosomal RNA, 467 nt
Filed under: uncultured bacterium
Lineage: Bacteria
Description: partial 16S ribosomal RNA
Rfam family: Bacterial small subunit ribosomal RNA
Source: RNAcentral
GAUGAAUGCUGGCGGCGUGCUUAACACAUGCAAGUCGAGCGGCAGCGCGAGUAGUUUACUACUUGGCGGCGAGCGGCGGACGGCUGAGUAACGCGUAGGAACGUGCCCCAAAGUGAGGAAUAACUGCCCGAAAGGGUGGCUAAUGCCGCAUAUGAUCUUCGGAUUAAAGGAUUUAUCCGCUUUGGGAGCGGCCUGCGUAUGAUUAGGUAGUUGGUGAGGUAAUGGCUCACCAAGCCGACGAUCAUUAGCUGGUCUGAGAGGAUGACCAGCCAGACUGGAACUGAGACACGGUCCAGACUCCUACGGGAGGCAGCAGUGAGGAAUCUUCCACAAUGGGCGAAAGCCUGAUGGAGCAACGCCGCGUGAAGGAUGAAGGCCCUCGGGUCGUAAACUUCUUUUAUAAGUGAAGAAUAUAACGGUAACUUAUGAAUAAGCACCGGCUAACUACGUGCCAGCAGCCGCAGUAA